RNAcentral lists this ribosomal RNA (497 nucleotides) under uncultured bacterium. RNAcentral describes it as "partial 16S ribosomal RNA". It matches the Rfam family "Bacterial small subunit ribosomal RNA", at positions 28 to 507 of the family's 1533-position model. The record is from RNAcentral.
GAUGAACGCUGGCGGCGUGCCUAAUACAUGCAAGUCGAGCGAACAGACGAGGAGCUUGCUCCUCUGACGUUAGCGGCGGACGGGUGAGUAACACGUGGAUAACCUACCUAUAAGACUGGGAUAACUUCGGGAAACCGGAGCUAAUACCGGAUAAUAUAUUGAACCGCAUGGUUCAAUAGUGAAAGACGGUUUUGCUGUCACUUAUAGAUGGAUCCGCGCCGCAUUAGCUAGUUGGUAAGGUAACGGCUUACCAAGGCAACGAUGCGUAGCCGACCUGAGAGGGUGGUCGGCCACACUGGAACUGAGACACGGUCCAGACUCCUAAGGGAGGCAGCAGUAGGGAAUCUUCCGCAAUGGGCGAAAGCUUGACGGAGCAACGCCGCGUGAGUGAUGAAGGUCUUCGGAUCGUAAAACUCUGUUAUUAGGGAAGAACAAAUGUGUAAGUAACUAUGCACGUCUUGACGGUACCUAAUCAGAAAGCCACGGCUAACUACGUG